AUGAACGCUGGCGGCGUGCCUAAUACAUGCAAGUCGGGCGAACAGACGAGGAGCUUGCUCCUCUGACGUUAGCGGCGGCCGGGUGAGUAACACGUGGAUAACCUACCUAUAAGACUGGGAUAACUUCGGGAAACCGGAGCUAAUACCGGAUAAUAUAUUGAACCGCAUGGUUCAAUAGUGAAAGACGGUUUUGCUGUCACUUAUAGAUGGAUCCGCGCCGCAUUAGCUAGUUGGUCAGGUAACGGCUUACCAAGGCGACGAUGCGUAGCCGAACUGAGAGGCUGAUCGGCCACACGGGAACUGAGACACGGUCCAGACUCCUACGGGAGGCAGCAGUAGGGAAUCUUCCGCAAUGGGCGAAAGCCUGACGGAGCAACGCCGCGUGAGUGAUGAAGGUCUUCGGAUCGUAAAACUCUGUUAUUAGGGAAGAACAAAUGUGUAAGUAACUAUGCACGUCUUGACGGUACCUAAUCAGAAAGCCACGGCUAACUACGUG
RNAcentral lists this ribosomal RNA (496 nucleotides) under uncultured bacterium. RNAcentral's name for it is "partial 16S ribosomal RNA". It matches the Rfam family "Bacterial small subunit ribosomal RNA", at positions 29 to 507 of the family's 1533-position model. The record is from RNAcentral.